GACGAACGCUGGCGGCGUGCUUAACACAUGCAAGUCGAACGGUGAAGGGACGGGUUUUUGCUGGUUCUGGUUGCGUGGGGAACGGGUGAGACACACGGAAGUAACCUGCACCCUUCUUCUGUAUAACCGCAUGAACGUGUGGCUAAUACGAGAAUAUCUUCGCCUGCUGCAUGCAGGGGUUGGAAAAGAUUUUGUUUUGGCGGGGGAAGGGCUCGCGGCCCAUUAGGUUGGUGGUGGGGGGAUGGCCUACCAAGGCGGUGAGGGGUAGCCGGCCUGGGGGGGUGGACGGCCACACUGGGGCUGAGACACGGGCCAGACUCCUACGGGAGGCAGCAGGGGGGAAUAUUGCACAAUGGGCGCAAGCCUGAUGCAGCGACGCCGUGUGAGGGAUGGAGGCCUUCGGGUUGUAAACCUCUUUCGCCAGUGAAGCAGGCCUGUCCCUUUUGUGGGUGGGUUGACGGUAGCUGGAUAAGAAGCGCCGGCUAACUACGUG
RNAcentral lists this ribosomal RNA (493 nucleotides) under uncultured bacterium. Its description in RNAcentral is "partial 16S ribosomal RNA". It matches the Rfam family "Bacterial small subunit ribosomal RNA", at positions 28 to 507 of the family's 1533-position model. The record is from RNAcentral.